CCUACGGGAGGCAGCAGUGGGGGAUAUUGGACAAUGGGGGGAACCCUGAUCCAGCGACGCCGCGUGAGUGAAGAAGUAUUUCGGUAUGUAAAGCUCUGUCAGCAGGGAAGAAAGAAAUGACGGUACCGGACCAAGAAGCCCCGGCUAACUACGGGCCAGCAGCCGCGGUAAUACGUAGGGGGCAAGCGUUAGCGGGAAUUACUGGGUGUAAAGGGAGCGUAGACGGUUACUUAAGGCUGGAGUGAAAGGCCGGGGCCCACCCCCGGGACUGCUCUGGAAACUAUUCAACUUGAGUGCAGGUGAGGUAAGCGGAAUUCCUAGUGUAGCGGUGAAAUGCGUAGAUAUUAGGCGGCACCCCAGUGGCGAAGGCGGCUUACUGGACUGUAACUGACGUUGAGGCUCGAAAGCGUGGGGAGCAAACAGGAUUAGAUACCCGAGUAGUC
RNAcentral lists this ribosomal RNA (443 nucleotides) under uncultured bacterium. RNAcentral describes it as "partial 16S ribosomal RNA". It matches the Rfam family "Bacterial small subunit ribosomal RNA", at positions 338 to 795 of the family's 1533-position model. The record is from RNAcentral.